RNAcentral lists this transfer RNA (74 nucleotides) under Modestobacter roseus. Its description in RNAcentral is "tRNA-OTHER". It matches the Rfam family "tRNA". From Rfam's summary of the family: Transfer RNA (tRNA) molecules are approximately 80 nucleotides in length. Their secondary structure includes four short double-helical elements and three loops (D, anti-codon, and T loops). Lineage: Bacteria; Bacillati; Actinomycetota; Actinomycetes; Geodermatophilales; Geodermatophilaceae. The record is from RNAcentral.
CCUGAAGUAGCUCAGUGGUAGAUCGCCCGGCUGUCACCGGGAGGGCGCGAGUUCGAUCCUCGCCUUCAGGUCCA